AUAGCGUAUAUUAAAGUUGUUGCAGUUAAAAAGCUCGUAGUUGGAUUUCAAGGGUCGCAGGGUGUCUUCACUCUGCUCCCUAUCAGUCAUUGACUGUUACUGUGAGAAAAUUAGAGUGUUUCAAGCAGGCUAUUGCAGGAAUACAUUAGCAUGGAAUAACGAACGUCUAGAAUAUUGGUUAAUUCUAGAUAACGAUUAAUAGGGACAGUUGGGGGCAUUAGUAUUUAAUUGUCAGAGGUGAAAUUCUUGGAUUAUUUAAAGACUAACGUAUG
This 272-nucleotide ribosomal RNA is filed under the name uncultured eukaryote. Its description in RNAcentral is "partial 18S ribosomal RNA". It matches the Rfam family "Eukaryotic small subunit ribosomal RNA", at positions 594 to 945 of the family's 1831-position model. The record is from RNAcentral.